This 414-nucleotide ribosomal RNA is filed under the name Elassoma zonatum (banded pygmy sunfish). RNAcentral's name for it is "partial 16S ribosomal RNA". Lineage: Eukaryota; Metazoa; Chordata; Actinopteri; Centrarchiformes; Elassomatidae. The record is from RNAcentral.
CCCUUGUCGAUAUGGGCUCUUAAAGGGGAUUGCGCUGUUAUCCCUAGGGCAACUCGGUUCGUUGUUCGGCAUUGCGGAUCUUAUAGUCAGAUGUUCUGUUUCUUAGAGCGGAGCUCUUAGCUGUGGAAAAGUGCUUCCAGUCUUCAUGGGGGUUUUUUAUUUCCCCGCGGUCGCCCCAACCAAAGACAUCUAGACAGGGCAAAUUUGUUUAGUCCUUUAGUAGGGGUAUUUAACAAGGUUCGCUAAUGUCUAAAGCUCCAUAGGGUCUUCUCGUCUUAUGUUAUUAUUCCCGCUUCUGCACGGGAAGAUCAAUUUCAUUGACUUAGAAAAGGAGACAGUUAAGCCUUCGUUAUGCCAUUCAUACAGGUCUUCAUUUAAAAGACAAUUGAUUACGCUACCUUUGCACGGUCAGAA